AUUGAACGCUGGCGGCAUGCCUUACACAUGCAAGUCGAACGGCAGCACGGGUGCUUGCACCCGGUGGCGAGUGGCGAACGGGUGAGUAAUACAUCGGAACAUGUCCUGUAGUGGGGGAUAGCCCGGCGAAAGCCGGAUUAAUACCGCAUACGAUCUACGGAUGAAAGCGGGGGACCUUCGGGCCUCGCGCUAUAGGGUUGGCCGAUGGCUGAUUAGCUAGUUGGUGGGGUAAAGGCCUACCAAGGCGACGAUCAGUAGCCGGUCUGAGAGGACGACCAGCCACACUGGGACUGAGACACGGCCCAGACUCCUACGGGAGGCAGCAGUGGGGAAUUUUGGACAAUGGGCGAAAGCCUGAUCCAGCAAUGCCGCGUGUGUGAAGAAGGCCUUCGGGUUGUAAAGCACUUUUGUCCGGAAAGAAAUCCUUGGCCCUAAUACGGUCGGGGGAUGACGGUACCGGAAGAAUAAGCACCGGCUAACUACGUG
RNAcentral lists this ribosomal RNA (486 nucleotides) under uncultured bacterium. RNAcentral describes it as "partial 16S ribosomal RNA". It matches the Rfam family "Bacterial small subunit ribosomal RNA", at positions 30 to 507 of the family's 1533-position model. The record is from RNAcentral.